Molecule: long non-coding RNA, 5169 nt
Organism: Equus asinus (donkey)
Lineage: Eukaryota; Metazoa; Chordata; Mammalia; Perissodactyla; Equidae
Source: Ensembl
CCUGCGGUGAAGGUCUCCCUUGGAGGCCUGUUUGCAGAAUCCCUGGACCUCAUUGAUUUGGAGAAUCCUGAAGGGCAAACAAGUCUGGCCUGUGGCUUGUGGGUCUGCGAGCAGUCUUAUUUUAAGAAAUCCCUUGAGACAGCUUUUCACUCUUAGGCAGAAGCCAAGAAACUUGUGUCUCGGGAGAUUUUUCUUUGACUGUUGAUUUUUAUUGGCAGUACUUCGGGAAUGUGAAAAUACUCCAUUAUGGAAACAUCCCUUGAAAUGCAGCACACGGCUGUGGUCUCCAGUAUGUGGUCCUGGCCCUGUUUGAUUUAGUUGUGGAGUUAACCUAGGAGAGAAUGACCUCCUGCCCUGUGGCACGUACUGGUGCUCUGCUGCAGACAUCAGGAGAUCUCUGCAUCUACCGGCUGAGUGGCCUUGGGCCACUUGGAGCUGUUUCUCUGUGUAGAGCCCGCCUCCCAGGUGGUGGUGAGGCUCAACACGACUGCCAGUGUGCAGGCUCCCCUGGAGGCCAUAGAGCAUUGUACAAGGCGUUAAACUCAAUUUCUAGAAGAGAAAGAAAAAUCCAGAUUUUGUUCCGCCUCAUUGUUCAAGUGCUUCGUUGUCACCAUCAAGCCAUUUGAACUAUGUUCGCUCCAGUAAGCUAUGGACACACGAGAGAACCGCAACUGUGCGUGAAGAACUUGCCUCAAAUCAUUGGGUUUGGCUUCUCCUAUCAAACUUUCCCCAAGGUUUUCCAAAGCUGGAGCAGACUUCCAUUCUUCCUGAACCACACCUUGUCUAGGAGAAUGUAUAGAAGAGGAAAAGGCGACAACGGGACUUCAAUCCUAGAGAAGCCAACAUUGAAAGUGUGCGAGAAGAGAAUCCUCUAAAAGUGACUGAGGAAACCUGGGCAGGAGGCAGAGACAAAGGAGAGUGGAGGAGGCCAAGGGAAGGAAGGAGAGACCCACUUUUGGGUAAUGCUACAGACGUGGUAAGUGAGGGAAAGGAGAAGAUUCUGCAGACCAGUUGGGCUUACCACGUGUCUCAGUUUCUUUGGGACCCACGACUUGCCCAGGACGGACUUGAUUGAGAAAUGCUGUGUUGGUUUCAAAGGACAGCAAAGGCAGGAAGGGCCGUCUUUGAAGUGAUUGUGAACUCAUCUUCUCUAUGAACAGUUUCUCCAAACGAGAUGUGACAAGGGUGCUAUGACUGUAGCGUGAGGGAGGGGUUGGGAGAAGAAAAUCUUCUGAAGAAGCUUCGUCACCCUCUCUCAGCUCCCUGAUUUGUAGCCAACACUGAAUGAGGAGAAGUGAACUGUCCUGUGGUGGGACUUCUGGCAGCCUUUCUCACUUGGUCAGAAAGAGGCAUUGCUAAUAUCUGCAUUAAAAACUCACCCUGGAGCACCUGGAAACUAUUCUUCAAGCAUUGAAGGCGGGCUCUGCUGACCUGCUGUCUGGAAUUGUGGUUCUGUGGUGAACUGGGUGGCGAGGCCGAUAAUCCACCCGUCAAGAUGAGCUGGACUGCAGCCUUCCCUCCCCCACACAGAUCCCCAUUCCCUUAGUUAUUUGGAGUCUUCAUGGCUUCCCCUCACUGUUUCCUGAGCCCUGAGGAGCAGUGUUAAAUAGUGGUUAAAUAUAUGGCCUCUGGUUUCAGACAGGCCUCAGUUUAAAUCUUGGUUCUGCUAUUUAAACAUUAUAUGGCAUUGGGAAUGACUAUCUCUUCAUCUCUAGAAUGGGCAUCCUAAUGGCAUGCCGUCUUAUGAAAUGGUUGUGGGGGUUAAAAUGAGACCAUGUGUGUGAAGUACCUGGGAGUACCUGCACACAGUAGGGACUCAGUUAAUUCAGUUCUCUUCUGUUCUCCACACCUGGACCCAUUUCUUCUGUUUGCUUUUCCCCAGCUUCGACUGGAAGCUGACCUAAGGUGGCUGUCCCAUUGGAACAAAUGUAACAAAGAUUCACAUAUAGACAUCAAUAACUGAUAAAGAAUUAGCCAUAAGUAUGCACUCCAAGACAUGGAAAUACGUCUCAAACUACCAUGACCGUCCUGUCACGAAGGGACACCGAAGCUUAUUGCUGGAGGCUCAUCAGUGUGGCUGAGAAGGAAUCUGAAGCAGAUGCUGUCAGACGGUAACGCUGAACUUACACCAGACGAUAACGCACGUUUUCUAAUAUUCCAAAAUUUAAUCUUAAACCGUUAGUCAAAUCUGCCUAAAAUCUUGGGACACAAAGUCAGUUAUUGGGUCCUGUGCAAAGUUUAUUGUAGGUAUUAACACUUAAUUUCCCCCAAACCUCUCUGAGUGAAAUAUUAUUAAGGUCCCCUGUGAUGGUUAAUUUUAUGUGUGAACUUGGCUAGGCUGUGGUACUCAGUUUUUGGCCCAACACCAGUGUAGAUGUCGUGGUGAAGGUAUGUUUUAGAUGAAAUUAACAUUCAAAUCAGUAGACUUGGAGUAAAACAAAAUACCUUCUAUAAGGUGAAAGAGCUCAUCCAACCAGUUGAAGGACUUAAGAAAAUAAGACUGAAUCCCCUGGAGGAAUAGAGAAUUCUGCUUCCAGACUGCUCUUGGACUCGAGUCGCAACAUCAGCUCUUUGCAGGUCUGCCCUACAGAUUUCCAGUUUGCCAGCCCCGACGAUCACAUGCACCAAUUGCUUAAAAUAAAUCUCUCUCUCUCUAGUUAUAUAUUUAUAUAUAUAUACAUAUGCUUUUGUGUGUGUGUGUGUGUGGAAGAUUAGCCCUGAGCUAACAUCUGCUGCCAAUCCUCCUCUUUUUGCUGAGGAAGACUGGCCCUGAGCUAACAUCUGUGCUCAUCUUCCUCUACUUUAUAUGUGGGACGUCUACCACAGCAUGGCUUGCCAAGCGGUGCCAUCUCUGCAACCGGGAUCCAAACAGGCGAACCCUGGGCCGCCGAAGGAGAACGUGCGAACUCAACUGCUGCGCCACCGGGCCGGCCCUCUCUCUAGUUAUAUAGAUACAUGCAUAGAUAUUUCUCUGGAAAAUUCUGACUAAUCAAUCUCCAUUUUACAAAUGGUAAAACAAAGUCUCAGAGAGAUAAAAUAAUUUGUCAUAGGCCACACAGCUAGUUAGCAGCCGGGUGGAAUGCAGGCUGCUCUUUCUUGCAGGGCCGAGCUAGAACCCAGGUUCCUCCCAGCCUGUGGCCAAGAACCAUAUGAGGGGCAUGUGAAGAGUUGGUUGUGUUUAAUCCUGUCAUCGGUUUAUUGGAAAGCUUUUCACUGCAGCCUGCAAGAGGGAAAACGACUUGCUUGGGGUGAAUGUGGCCACCAAUGCGCUCUUUCCCUUCAUCUAAACAGAGACUCGGUCACACUUCAUUGAUCAUGCCUCUCGCUGAAAGGUCGCCUUAAUGCUGGCCAGCAAAUAUUAUGUUUCUCAGGCAGCCCUAUGCUGUCAACCACGUUUCCUGAUCUACUCUGAUUAGAUAUAUAAACAGCUUCGGUAAAACAGAGCCCGAGCUUUGCUGUUAAAAAUAUAAGAUAAGGCUUCCAUAAAUAUUCAUCAACAGCAGAGACACUGUGUCAGUUAGGCCUGAACCCUCAGAGCACACAGCUUCUUUUUACGGUGUUGUAAGAAGGUCAGUGGGCAAAUAACCAUGAUUUAUAAUCAUGUUUUAAUAGUGACUGGUGUUCCGGCUGAGGGACACACUGGGGAGAAGAAAGGGUUAAAAUAGUCGCGAGGGGUCACGAAGUGGUCUUGCAUUAAUGACCUAGCACAUGAGCAACAUUACUAAAAGUUCCUUAGUUAUUUUGUAUCUGCUAAGUGUGACCCCAUCCCAGCUAAGAAUAGGGAUGAAAUGGUCUGACGCCUGCAAGGUGCAGAAACGUGAACGAAGAACAAGGACUUCCCUGAAAUUCGAAUGUGCUGCCCAAUUGGGGAAAUGAAGUAAUCAAAACCACGCGUUUUAUACCUUCAGAUGCAUCUCGUCCCACAAACACGUGCAAGGCAGGACCAGUUUAUGGCGUUUUAUUACAGAUUCAUGUGUGUUUAAUUGGUAUGCAUUUCAAAAUACUCUUCUAACAUUUGUGCCAACGUUGGGCUCGAUGAUCUAAAGGAUUUUUCCAGCUCUAAUUCCUUUGCAUGAGAACAUGUGCCCUUUCCAUAUAAUUUUUGGUAUUUGUUUUCCAAAAAGCUACAAAGGGUUGUCAAUAUUGGUUUUAAAGAGGAAAAAAUAGGAUGAGAGUAAGAAGAGACUAUCAAAAGUUGCUUGGUGGGAAAAUAUCAGAAGUUAACAUACUGGAUGAAGUUUUAAUGUGCUUGGAUAUUUAUAGAUAGCUUCCGAAAGACAUUUUGCUCACAUAAAGAGCUCACUACUCCCCACUUCAAUGAUCACUUGAAAUUUUCCUAAACUAAUCAAUGCAAUUUCUACUCAACACUAAAUAGACCUGCUCACAUUUGUUGAGCAGUUACUAUGUACCCAGCACUGUUCUAAACACUUUACACAAAUCAGCUGAGAAAAAUCCUGUCGUCAACCCAAGAGCCUGCUGCUUUUUUCCCUCUUUAUCGCAGCCUAUGAAAUUAUGCAUACUCAAUUUAAACCUUUCUUGAAUUAAAGUAAUAUUCUCCCAGGUUGAUGCCUGGUUUGGGUUAACAUCAAAUAUAAAAGCCUUUUAUUUUCCCGAGAUAAUCGUUUUAUUUUCUUGGAAUUGUUGUGACCCAUAGUUCCCAUGCUUGGCUGUGCAUCAGGAUCGCAUGAGGAACUUUCCAAAAAUGCGAGUUCCUAGGCCAGAACUCCCAACCACCGAAUCUCUACAGGCGGGACUCAGGAAUCUGCAUUCUAACAAGGAAGUGGUAUUUUUAUUCCUUUCUCAGAAGAAGAAACCAAGUCACAUAAGGUUGAAUAACAGCCUGAAGUCACACUGAGAGUAAGGAAGAACUAAAUGCAAACAGAGGAAGGUCGUAGGUUUUUUUUAAAUUGUACUUGAGUUGGUCUUAAUGUUGUUUGUGCUUCUAUAAGAAGCAACACGUUUUCUUUGUACAAGGUACUCAAAUACUAAAAGCCAAAGUGAUAUUAGGCUGCGCUGAGGGCACAUUUGGGGAACUUAGGCCACCUCUCCGAGUUUUCCAGAAAAAUGAGUACAUGUGGACUGUCUUUCAUUCUUUCCUUUAGUUAGGAUAUCUUUAGUCUUGGUUUACACAUGCAAAUGGGUUUCCAUUAUUAGAUUGACCGAGAGAAC